UCUCUUUUUAAUCAUACUUUACCUGCCAAAUUGCGUGGGCUCACAUGGAGGCUGUACCUGUCCGACAGGAAUGAAAGGUUGGAGUACCUUUCCCAAAUGCUGGCACAUAGGGCUGCAUCCUGGAAGGACAGAGAGAUCUCUUUGAGGUGCCGGACCCUUCUGGAUUCUGAGCCAGCAUUCCAGGCCCUGAAAGAUAGCAAAGUUGCAGCCAGAUGCUUGAGGAACGUACUCUCGUAUUACCACAAACUCCAGGGCACAUCCGCUCCUCUGCGUGAGCAAGAUUACUUCCUACCAGUGCCUCUACUGCAAACCAU
Molecule: long non-coding RNA, 314 nt
Organism: Euleptes europaea (tarantolino)
Lineage: Eukaryota; Metazoa; Chordata; Lepidosauria; Squamata; Sphaerodactylidae
Exons: 3
Source: RefSeq, a predicted model, not a curated record